ACGAAGAGUUUGAUCCUGGCUCAGGAUGAACGCUAGCGACAGGCUUAACACAUGCAAGUCGAGGGGCAGCACAGGUAGCAAUACCGGGUGGCGACCGGCGCACGGGUGAGUAACGCGUAUGCAACUUACCUAUCAGAGGGGGAUAACCCGGCGAAAGUCGGACUAAUACCGCAUGAAGCAGGGGCCCCGCAUGGGGAUAUUUGCUAAAGAUUCAUCGCUGAUAGAUAGGCAUGCGUUCCAUUAGGCAGUUGGCGGGGUAACGGCCCACCAAACCGACGAUGGAUAGGGGUUCUGAGAGGAAGGUCCCCCACAUUGGUACUGAGACACGGACCAAACUCCUACGGGAGGCAGCAGUGAGGAAUAUUGGUCAAUGGCCGAGAGGCUGAACCAGCCAAGUCGCGUGAGGGAUGAAGGUUCUAUGGAUCGUAAACCUCUUUUAUAAGGGAAUAAAGUGCGGGACGUGUCCCGUUUUGUAUGUACCUUAUGAAUAAGGAUCGGCUAACUCCGUGCCAGCAGCCGCGGUAAUACGGAGGAUCCGAGCGUUAUCCGGAUUUAUUGGGUUUAAAGGGUGCGUAGGCGGCCUUUUAAGUCAGCGGUGAAAGUCUGUGGCUCAACCAUAGAAUUGCCGUUGAAACUGGGGGGCUUGAGUAUGUUUGAGGCAGGCGGAAUGCGUGGUGUAGCGGUGAAAUGCAUAGAUAUCACGCAGAACCCCGAUUGCGAAGGCAGCCUGCCAAGCCAUUACUGACGCUGAUGCACGAAAGCGUGGGGAUCAAACAGGAUUAGAUACCCUGGUAGUCCACGCAGUAAACGAUGAUCACUAGCUGUUUGCGAUACACUGUAAGCGGCACAGCGAAAGCGUUAAGUGAUCCACCUGGGGAGUACGCCGGCAACGGUGAAACUCAAAGGAAUUGACGGGGGCCCGCACAAGCGGAGGAACAUGUGGUUUAAUUCGAUGAUACGCGAGGAACCUUACCCGGGUUUGAACGCAUUCGGACCGAGGUGGAAACACCUUUUCUAGCAAUAGCCGUUUGCGAGGUGCUGCAUGGUUGUCGUCAGCUCGUGCCGUGAGGUGUCGGCUUAAGUGCCAUAACGAGCGCAACCCUUGCCACUAGUUACUAACAGGUAAAGCUGAGGACUCUGGUGGGACUGCCAGCGUAAGCUGCGAGGAAGGCGGGGAUGACGUCAAAUCAGCACGGCCCUUACAUCCGGGGCGACACACGUGUUACAAUGGCGUGGACAAAGGGAAGCCACCUGGCGACAGGGAGCGAAUCCCCAAACCACGUCUCAGUUCGGAUCGGAGUCUGCAACCCGACUCCGUGAAGCUGGAUUCGCUAGUAAUCGCGCAUCAGCCAUGGCGCGGUGAAUACGUUCCCGGGCCUUGUACACACCGCCCGUCAAGCCAUGGGAGCCGGGGGUACCUGAAGUCCGUAACCGCGAGGAUCGGCCUAGGGUAAAACUGGUGACUGGGGCUAAGUCGUAACAAGGUAGCCGUACCGGAAGGUGCGGCUGGAACACCUCCUUU
Molecule: ribosomal RNA, 1522 nt
Filed under: Parabacteroides distasonis
Lineage: Bacteria; Pseudomonadati; Bacteroidota; Bacteroidia; Bacteroidales; Tannerellaceae
Description: bacterial SSU rRNA
Rfam family: Bacterial small subunit ribosomal RNA
Source: RNAcentral